This 498-nucleotide ribosomal RNA is filed under the name uncultured bacterium. RNAcentral describes it as "partial 16S ribosomal RNA". It matches the Rfam family "Bacterial small subunit ribosomal RNA", at positions 28 to 507 of the family's 1533-position model. The record is from RNAcentral.
GACGAACGCUGGCGGCGUGCCUAAUACAUGCAAGUCGAGCGGACGAAUCGAAAGCUUGCUUUUGAUUCGUUAGCGGCGGACGGGUGAGUAACACGUGGGCAACCUGCCCUGUAGACGGGGAUAACACCGAGAAAUCGGUGCUAAUACCGGAUAACACGAAAUGUCGCAUGACGUUUCGUUGAAAGACGGCGCAAGCUGUCGCUACAGGAUGGGCCCGCGGCGCAUUAGCUAGUUGGUGAGGUAACGGCUCACCAAGGCGACGAUGCGUAGCCGACCUGAGAGGGUGAUCGGCCACACUGGGACUGGGACACGGCCCAGACUCCUACGGGAGGCAGCAGUAGGGAAUCUUCCGCAAUGGACGAAAGUCUGACGGAGCAACGCCGCGUGAGCGAAGAAGGCCUUCGGGUCGUAAAGCUCUGUUGUUAGGGAAGAACAAGUAACGCAGUAACUGGCGUUACCGUGACGGUACCUAACGAGAAAGCCACGGCUAACUACGUG